RNAcentral lists this ribosomal RNA (301 nucleotides) under uncultured bacterium. RNAcentral describes it as "partial 16S ribosomal RNA". It matches the Rfam family "Bacterial small subunit ribosomal RNA", at positions 509 to 807 of the family's 1533-position model. The record is from RNAcentral.
CAGCCGCCACGGGAAUACGGAGGAUCCGAGCGUUACCCGGAAUUAUUGGGUUUAAAGGGUGCGUAGGCGGAUAGAUAAGUCAGUGGUGAAAGACGGUGGCUCAACCAUCGCAGUGCCGUUGAUACUGUUUAUCUUGAAUAUGGAUGAGGUAGGCGGAAUGUGGCAAGUAGCGGUGAAAUGCAUAGAUAUGCCACAGAACACCGAUUGCGAAGGCAGCUUACCAAGGCAAAAUUGACGCUGAGGCACGAAAGCGUGGGGAUCGAACAGGAUUAGAUACCCCAGUAGUCCCUGUCUCUUAUAC